Molecule: long non-coding RNA, 1088 nt
Filed under: Oryzias sinensis (Chinese medaka)
Lineage: Eukaryota; Metazoa; Chordata; Actinopteri; Beloniformes; Adrianichthyidae
Description: lncRNA (ENSOSIG00000000703.1)
Source: RNAcentral
AACAAAAACUUUAAUGGACAUGCCAUUAUUUCUUGUGAACUUGUUGUUUGUACACAUUUAUUUGCACUUGAUUAUCUUACAAGAAAUACAAGGAAUCUGGAAAACGUCACAUGCACUGAUCAGAACCCAGGUAGUUAUCUGAGCCACACUGGUUAAACCUUUGGCUAAAGAUGUCCUGGUUCGAUUUUAAUUUGGUGAAUCGGAUUGUUCCAGAUGACUUAAUAUCAACUAGGAAUCAGAUCAGCAACCACAAACUACAAUAUAAAUCAAAUCGUUGUUUAAAUGAAUUAUUAAACCCCAAGAGAUUAUUCUUUCAUCACUAGAUAACUGAAGUAGUAUUACAAGUAACCAGGCAACUUUACUCAGAUCAUCUCUACUUUCUAAGUUUGCAUGUCAAAGCUGUUUAUUUGGAUAAGUAUCCACAGAGUUUGAAAUGUGUUCCUGCAGCCAUAUUUCAGUCAAAAACUGGUGGGGAUUUACAUGAACUAUGAAUAUCAAGAGAAAAAAAGCCUUGUGUUUCCUUUUCGUCAUCCUGUCAUAUCCUUCACAGCUGCUUUGUAUUUUUCCAAACACCAAAACCUUUACUUUAUAUAAUCCCACAUCAAAACGUUACAGGUGGAGACUUACCUUGUUGCAUCAAACUACAAAGUCAACAUUUAAGAGAGGCGACAUUUACUGAUCAAAGCCUGUGACACCAGCAGAACAUUUUCCACCGGCGAAGCAGACGGCUGGUUUACUUUUUAGUUUUCUUUGCCAUCUGAGGCACCGGUCAAGAAAAUAAUGCAGGCUCAUUGAAAGUGAAGUGGAAAUGGCAGAGAGGAAAUUUACUGAGUUUAUUUUUAUCUGCUUCAUGCUUCUGCACGGUAAGACAAGAAAAUAUCUGGACUUUUCAUGUCAUAAAAUUAAAAACAUUUCUGAAAAGUUGCUCUUCUAGAUGUUACAGUUCAGACUUGUGUCAAAUAUUCACUCAUCAUUUGCUAAAUGUGAGCUUUUUUAUUUAAAAAAAAAAAACACAAAAAAAGGUUUAGCAAUUGUUUUUCACCAAAAAAUAAUUUUCUUUGAAUGUGACUUAAUUAAUCUAAACUGGA